RNAcentral lists this ribosomal RNA (497 nucleotides) under uncultured bacterium. RNAcentral describes it as "partial 16S ribosomal RNA". It matches the Rfam family "Bacterial small subunit ribosomal RNA", at positions 28 to 507 of the family's 1533-position model. The record is from RNAcentral.
GAUGAACGCUGGCGGCGUGCCUAAUACAUGCCAGUCGAGCGAACGGACGAGAAGCUUGCUCCUCUGAUGUUAGCGGCGGACGGGUGAGUAACACGUGGAUAACCUACCUAUAAGACUGGGAUAACUUCGGGAAACCGGAGCUAAUACCGGAUAAUAUUUUGAACCGCAUGGUUCAAUAGUGAAAGACGGUUUUGCUGUCACUUAUAGAUGGAUCCGCGCUGCAUUAGCUAGUUGGUAAGGUAACGGCUUACCAAGGCAACGAUGCAUAGCCGACCUGAGAGGGUGAUCGGCCACACUGGAACUGAGACACGGUCCAGACUCCUACGGGAGGCAGCAGUAGGGAAUCUUCCGCAAUGGGCGAAAGCCUGACGGAGCAACGCCGCGUGAGUGAUGAAGGUCUUCGGAUCGUAAAACUCUGUUAUUAGGGAAGAACAUAUGUGUAAGUAACUGUGCACAUCUUGACGGUACCUAAUCAGAAAGCCACGGCUAACUACGUG